This 210-nucleotide ribosomal RNA is filed under the name uncultured Corynebacterium sp. Its description in RNAcentral is "partial 16S ribosomal RNA". It matches the Rfam family "Bacterial small subunit ribosomal RNA", at positions 28 to 238 of the family's 1533-position model. The record is from RNAcentral. Lineage: Bacteria; Bacillati; Actinomycetota; Actinomycetes; Mycobacteriales; Corynebacteriaceae.
GAUGAACGCUGGCGGCGUGCUUAACACAUGCAAGUCGAACGGAAAGGCCCAAGCUUGCUUGGGUACUCGAGUGGCGAACGGGUGAGUAACACGUGGGUGAUCUGCCCUGCACUUCGGGAUAAGCCUGGGAAACUGGGUCUAAUACCGGAUAGGACCACUUCUUGGAUGUUGUGGUGGAAAGUUUUUUCGGUGUGGGAUGAGCUCGCGGCC